GUCCCCUUCCAAACCUGCAGUUCUACGAUUCUGUGAUUCUAUGAAGUCCAAAAUGGCGUAAGGCUGCUGUUCAUUAACAAUGCAGUUCAAUGGGACUCCCUGUUAUAGAAUCAUAGAAGCUGUAGAAUUGGAAAGGGGAC
This is a non-coding RNA of Podarcis lilfordi (Lilford's wall lizard), 140 nucleotides long. Lineage: Eukaryota; Metazoa; Chordata; Lepidosauria; Squamata; Lacertidae. The record is from the annotation of a GenBank genome assembly.